UAGGUUUUGUGGUUCUUGUGAAAUA
This 25-nucleotide microRNA is filed under the name Bombyx mori (domestic silkworm). Its description in RNAcentral is "bmo-miR-3326". The record is from miRBase by way of RNAcentral. Lineage: Eukaryota; Metazoa; Arthropoda; Insecta; Lepidoptera; Bombycidae.